UACGUAGGGUGCAAGCGUUAUCCGGAAUUAUUGGGCGUAAAGAGCUCGUAGGCGGUUUGUCGCGUCUGCUGUGAAAACUCGGGGCUCAACUCCGAGCUUGCAGUGGGUACGGGCAGACUAGAGUGCGGUAGGGGAGACUGGAAUUCCUGGUGUAGCGGUGGAAUGCGCAGAUAUCAGGAGGAACACCAAUAGCGAAGGCAGCUCGCUGGGACGGUACUGACGCUGAGGCGCGAAAGCGUGGGGAGCGAACAGG
Molecule: ribosomal RNA, 253 nt
Filed under: uncultured bacterium
Lineage: Bacteria
Description: partial 16S ribosomal RNA
Rfam family: Bacterial small subunit ribosomal RNA
Source: RNAcentral